Non-coding RNA from Loxodonta africana (African savanna elephant), 1902 nucleotides. Lineage: Eukaryota; Metazoa; Chordata; Mammalia; Proboscidea; Elephantidae. The record is from the annotation of a RefSeq genome assembly.
GUUGCACCAUUGGUGAGCUCAUCCCAAGGGGGCAGAUCAGAGCGUUCCUCAGGAGAGCCCCCUAGGGGUGCAGAGAAGAGCGCAGAGCAGGACCCAGUCUCUUGAGAGAAAGUGUGGUGAGAGGCCAGCCGUGGAGGAUGCUGGUGCUGCUUCUGCUCCUGGGGCCCGGCCCCACACUGUGUGCCCUCGUCUCUCAACACCCAAGCUUGGCCAUCUGCAAGAAUGGGACCUCAGUGAAGAUCGAGUGCCGCGUCACAGGCAUCCAGGCAACAAAGAUGCUGUGGUAUCUCCAGCUCCCAGAGCAGGACUUCACCCUGAUCACAACUUCUAACCAGGGCUCCGGCAUCGCCUAUGAGGAAGGCUUUACCAAGGACACGUUCCGGAUCAACCACCCAGACCUCACGUUUUCAACUCUGACAGUGACCAGUGCACAGGCCCAGGACAGCGGCCUCUACUUCUGUGGUGCUAGUGACACAGUGCCAGGCAGAGAUCAGGGACCCAAGCAAGAACCUCUGCCCGGAUGCCCCUUUCUUCUCCCCAGGGGUCUGUGAGCCCUGUGGGAGGAGUGUGCAGGGUAGGAAACCGCAGCUCCUUGAACUGAGACACCUGGGAGUGUGUGUGUCUGUGUACUGUGUGUGUGUAUGUAGAGAGAGAGAUUGAACGUGCGUGUGUGUGUUAGUGUAGAGAGUGUAUAUGUGUGUACGUUAUAUACACAGAGAGUGAGUGUGAAGCGUAGGGGCACCAUGUGUGAAACCGAGAAAACGGGCAUGGGACUGGGCCUAUAAAGUGACACCAACAUGGAGACGUCCCUGGAUGGAAAAUUCUAAAACCUGGAUGGUUGUCUUGACUCUGCCACAUGUUAAUCAUGAAAAACAUGUUAGGAAAAACUCACUAUAGAUAGAUCUAUAAAAUGUGUGAGUUUUCCGUGGUAAACGUGGACUUCAGAUUUCCUAGACCAUCUGACAACGUCUUGUCACCAUGCUGGGCCCUCGAGAUAAAAGUGGGAUAUAAGUCAGCCAAGCAAGUGCUUCACUCAUGAGAAAAUUUCCAUGAUGAACGACAUAGUGCUUUGGUUAAUGAAUGAACAGGUAAGAACAGGUACAGGGAAGGUGAGAGGACUACUUUUUUGCAUGACUUAAUCGGAAAACAUUUUGUUGUUAUUGUGCAAAACAGAUAUGUGGACGCUCAGACUCAGGCUUCACCUUCCAGAUAAAGGGACCGUCUUGCACGUAGCAAGGCAGAGACAGGUACAAGAGCGAAGUACUGAUUCUAGUAGCUUUGUUGUUGUUGUUAGGUGCCCAAGAGUUGGCUCCGACUCGUAGUGACCUUAUGUGCAACCAAUAAAAUGUGACCUGGUCCUGCACCAUCGUCACAAUCGUUAAUAUGUUUGAGGUCAUUGUUGCAGCCACUGUGUCAAUCCAUCCCGUUGCGGGUCUUCCACUUUUUCACUCGCUCUCUACUUUCUGGAGCAUGAUGUCCCUCCCCAGGGACUGGUCCCUCCUGAUGGCCUGCCACAGCAAGAAGAUGAAAUCUCACCAUCCUCACUUCUGAGGAGCGUCCUGGCUGCACUUUGGGCUGCUGUACAGAAGAAAGGCCUGGAGAUCUGCUUGUGUAAAAAUUACAGCCAAGAAAACCCUAUGGGGCAGCUCUACUGUGUCACGUGGGGUCUCCAUGAGUCGGAACUGACCCAGCAGCAGCGGGCUUAUUUCUGUGUGUUAUUCUGGUGUAACUCCAGAAGGCUCCUUGCUUACCUACCCCGUGGUAUAAUCUGAAAUGCUUGGGACUUGGGGAGUGACUACCUCCUCAUAUCUCUUCUAUUAGUAAGAUGAAACAAGUCUCCCUGAAGGAAAAAAAAUGAAUAAAAAUCCAUUCACUGCUGGUUUGAAGGAUGCUUGAUGAGAA